RNAcentral lists this non-coding RNA (22 nucleotides) under Arabidopsis thaliana (thale cress). Lineage: Eukaryota; Viridiplantae; Streptophyta; Magnoliopsida; Brassicales; Brassicaceae. The record is from RNAcentral.
AGUUCAAGGAGGAGUUGCUGAA